AACGAACGCUGGCGGCAUGCCUAACACAUGCAAGUCGAACGAGACCUUCGGGUCUAGUGGCGCACGGGUGCGUAACGUGUGGGAACCUGCCCUUAGGUUCGGAAUAACUCCCCGAAAGGGGUGCUAAUACCGGAUAAUGUCUUCGGACCAAAGAUUUAUCGCCUUUGGAUGGGCCCGCGUUGGAUUAGCUAGUUGGUAGGGUAAAAGCCUACCAAGGCGACGAUCCAUAGCUGGUCUGAGAGGAUGAUCAGCCACACUGGGACUGAGACACGGCCCAGACUCCUACGGGAGGCAGCAGCGGGGAAUAUUGGACAAUGGGCGAAAGCCUGAUCCAGCAAUGCCGCGUGAGUGAUGAAGGCCUUAGGGUUGUAAAGCUCUUUUACCCGGGAUGAUAAUGACAGUACCGGGAGAAUAAGCUCCGGCUAACUCCGUG
Molecule: ribosomal RNA, 433 nt
Filed under: uncultured bacterium
Lineage: Bacteria
Description: partial 16S ribosomal RNA
Rfam family: Bacterial small subunit ribosomal RNA
Source: RNAcentral